Molecule: long non-coding RNA, 2252 nt
Organism: Eucalyptus grandis
Lineage: Eukaryota; Viridiplantae; Streptophyta; Magnoliopsida; Myrtales; Myrtaceae
Exons: 4
Source: RefSeq, a predicted model, not a curated record
CUAAUGUUGGAGAAUCUGGAGAGAAGAUCGGUGGCCUUUGCAGCAAGCGCACGAGCUUCCCAUGGCGUCGGAAUGGAUGCAUUAACAAAUUUGACCAAGACUAGGCAAUCGGAUUCGAUUAUCAAACAAUCUCGUUGUCUACCUUUCUCCAGCAAAUCGUGAAGGGUGGUGGUGAGGGCGACGAACUCUGCUUGCAGAGCCGAUGAUACGAUGCUACCUCUGGAAACCUGGAUCUGGUGGUCUCCACAGUUUGCCAAGAUCGAAUUGUUGUCGUCCUGUCCUUGGUGAGAGCCCUGUUCUAGUUGAUUUGCGAUAGGAAGAAAGAGUAGAACGGGCGAUAGCGAUGGUUACAUCCACAACUCGAAUUGCGUCCAAACGAUCACCACAAAAUAUAAAGCCAUUUCGUGCUUUCCAUAUCUGCCAGAGGACAAAGGCUACCGUCUUUGGAUCAGCCAGAAUGCUUUGAAAGUAAAGGAUUUGUGGCGUCGUCCCUUUAAAGCUUCCAUAGAUAACGAUAAUGGAUUGUGAUCCGAGCCCACUACUGUGACAGGGAUCACCUCACUCUUGGAAGUAAAAGUAGGAAAAGAGCCGUCAUGAAGCUGAAGUUUAACGGAGUCAACAAGAGGAAAGUUUUAUGUUACCGAUAGUUUCAAUUUUUCAGUUUCCAUUGGAAAGCUAAUCUGUUUUGCAAUCUGAGUAUCCUUUCCUUGUGCAAGUAUUUGAAAUGUAGAUCGAUUAUUUGGCUGCCUCGCUGCAUUGUUGAGUUUUAGAAAAGGUUGCUACAAAUCUUCAUUAUGUUUCUCAUGGCAAGGAGGUAAUGCUGGAAGUAUACGAGAGGGAGGGGGGUCUCGGGAAUUACUUCUUCAACAGGUUGUUCCUGUGCCUCAUAGAAGGUUCUCCAGUAAGGACUAAAUUCUUUAACUUCUACCUUCAGCCACUGACCGUAAGCCAUCUUUUCUUUGCCUUCCAUCUUAGCUUCUGUGAAAGGAAAUUACUUGCAAUACAUUGCGUAAUGGCCUAAUUUUCCACAAGAGUAACAAAAGUAUGGUAGGCGUUCAUAUUUGAAAUCUAGCCAUAUUGCUUUCCUAGCUAUACGUAUGAGUUGACAUGUUUUCAAGAGUUCGUCUAAUAUAAUUUCCACACGAGCUCUGCCAGUUUCAUUGUCAUUCCAUCUUUAGUUUCUAGCUUUACAUCAAGCACUUUACCAAUGUGUUUAACAGCUUUGGAAAUCAUAUAGUCAAAGCAUCACUCUAACGGCAAGCCAUAGACUUGAAUCUAGAAUGCACAGGUGGAAAAAUCAUAGCAAUGUAGAGGCGUAUUAGGUAGCCAUGGUUUAAAGAUAACCAAAUGGCUGGAGAACAGCCAUGGCCCACCUUGUUGUACCCUCUGUUUUUCUUCAACUAAUUUAAAUUUAGCUACGUAAAUACCUGCAUCACGCUGAGUAAUAUCGACUUGUUCUGUUCGCCACGCUCUCUUUAAAGUAUUCUAAAAAGCAUGAAAGUUUAUGGAGGGAUUAGAUAGGAUUUUACCUACAAGCAUCAAUUUACACUCUUCCACUUUUUCCAUCGGCGGCAUCUCAUCCCAGUCUUCUACUUCCUUAGGGGACCAGAGGUGACCCAAUUGUUGACAAAGAGCAGUUAGGUGAGGAUUGUCUUCUUGGUUGAAGGGAUCCAUAGCUUGCGAACUCUAGAGCACAGCGUAAAAGUAAUAAUGAUGGAGGUCAAGUCAAAGCUUACCCAGAUAGCUAGUUUCGAAGGACAUGCAGAGAAAUUGGGUAAGGUCGAUUGGAAUAAGCUGACGUGGGUUGCUCUGAGGAAAGUUCGGCAUAUUGAAAAUUGUAAGAGAACCAGGCGUUUAGAAUCAAUUAGCAGGGGAAACAAUUGUUGGAGCUCGAGAAGAAGAGGCUGAAGGGAUGCAACCGAUACGUCUGGAUAAACUUGAUGGGAAGGGACCGGUAGGGAAAGUCAAUUGUAUGAGCUCGAGAUUAAGAGUGAGAGAGGGAACGACCGAAAGCCAUUGAUGAGGGCUUUGAUGAAAAGAAACGGAUUAGGGUUGUAGAAUUUCACCAACAAUGCGAAAUUAGGGGAAUUGACGAUUUAGGGUUAACAAAAUAAAGACUACCAUGGCGGUAGGGGAAAGCUCUACAUAUCGAGAGAGAGAGAGAGAGAGAGAGAGAGAGAUUCCUUGAUUAUGUCUUGUUCUUUGAAUGCUAUAAAAGGACUUUGAAUAAUAAGGAAAGACUUUGAGCGUGA